This 348-nucleotide unclassified non-coding RNA is filed under the name uncultured Mortierella. RNAcentral's name for it is "sequence contains ITS2". Lineage: Eukaryota; Fungi; Mortierellomycota; Mortierellomycetes; Mortierellales; Mortierellaceae. The record is from RNAcentral.
AACGCAUAUUGCGCUCUUUGGUAUUCCGAAGAGCAUGCUUGUUUGAGUAUCAGUAAACACCUCAAAGCCCUUUUUCUUUUUGAAAAAAGGCUUUGGACUUGAGCAAUCCCAACACUAAUCUUUUUAAAAGAGCAGAGGCGGGUUGCUUGAAAUGCAGGUGCAGCUGGACUUUCUCCUGAGCUAAAAGCAUAUUCAUUUAGUCCCGUCAAACGGAUUAUUACUUUUGCUGCAGCUAAUAUAAAGGGAGUUUGACCAUUUUGGCUGACUGAUGCAGGAUUUUCACAAGAGUCUUAAAAAACCCUUGUUAAACUCGAUCUCAAAUCAAGUAAGACUACCCGCUGAACUUAA